This 1642-nucleotide long non-coding RNA is filed under the name Salvia miltiorrhiza (redroot sage). Its description in RNAcentral is "long non-coding RNA (SMIL_LNC002901)". The record is from RNAcentral. Lineage: Eukaryota; Viridiplantae; Streptophyta; Magnoliopsida; Lamiales; Lamiaceae.
UUACACAAUGGGAAAAGAAAGCCAAAAAAGAAAAGCUGCCCACCAUUAAGGGGUCUACGCUCUACAUAGAAAUCCACUCAGCUAAACUAGAUCCUAUGCACUUUAAUUUGCUUUCACAACUAAUUUUAUUAAAUUACGUUGCUUUUUCAUAUUUUACUCGAUAUAAUUUGAUGCCAUUUUUCAUUUUUUGUGGGAUAAAUAAUUUUGAAUCAGUAUAUUAUAUAUACCUCCAUACACAUUCAUGAAGUGAAUCUUUUGAUAUGAUUUCAAAUUAUUUUGUGAUGUCACGUUUGUGUAUAGUUUUGUCCAUUUGAUGUAGAAUUGAGUGUGUUGGAGUAGUAGUGUACAUAAACUACGCCCAAGGAUCAAGAAUGGAGAGAAACGGGCGUGAGAAACGAAGGAAGAAAUGAAGAAAGAACAAAAGAAGAGAGAAAACGGCGGCCGCCUAUUUUGUGAUAGACGCAUGAACAAUUUCGGAGAUUGCCGAAGCGAUUGCCAAUUAUUUUGGAAUUUAUGUGAGAAACGGCUAUCUGCAUGAUAGCCUAUUUUCUUAGACUUUUUAGUGUAAUUUCAGCGGCCUACUGGUAUGGUUGCCAAUUUCAACCGUGUUUGACCUAAUUUCAUGUUAAAUAAAUAGUAUAUAUUCGAGUCUGAGGGUUCCAGAUCAUAUUCCUAGUUUGAGACUUAAUUGUUUUCUUAGUUUUAAAGCUGAGAUUUGGUUUUCCACAAAGAAUUGAAGAUUCAAGAUUGUUACACUAAAUUCAUUUCAAGGUUUUGUCAAUUUAUUUAAUUCAGUUAUUUUAAUUUUAUUUUUGUCUUUAAUUUAUUUAAUUAUGUCUGCUAAGUUUCUUUUCUAAUUGUAGGAUUUGUAUAGUUGAUUGAAAUUAUGUGUUUGAUCUCUUAAUACCAAUUUGUCUUCCAGUGUUUGCUUCAUGAUUGAUGCGUCUUCGACUUUUGGGCCAUUUGGCCCUAUUUUUCCCUUUUUAUUGUGUCUGUUUAGGUCAUAUUGGGGAGAGAACGAGGUUUGAAGGGAUGAGAGGUCCAGUUCAGGGCAUAUAAGAGAAAGAUGGUCAGAAUGAGCAUUACCAGCUCAAACUGCAAGAUGUCAUGUUUACAGGGAUGGAGCAGAGGCGAAGUACCGCUCAGAAUACAUCUGAGGAGUGGGAACCAGCAAAGUGUACCACCUUGUAUGAGGCGAACCAGAAGAAGCAGUCAAUACGACCAUUACCAGAAUGAGCAGCAGCAGCCGAAGCUCAAUAAGGAAACCCGUGUCCAGAAGAUAUCAUGAAGAUUGUAGGCGAAUGAAGUAUGGCAAGUGAAGGAUCCAGAAGGUGGUAGAAGUUGACUCCAUCGGCAGCUGGAAGAUCAUAUCCAAUCAGAUCAAUCAGUGAUUGGGCUAAACAUGGAAAGAAGAUCAAUCUGUAGAUAUGGUUGCCGGAGUUUGACUGCUACCGUGAUGAUAUUUAAGGGCCAGCAUAUGUGGCUGGCGGAGGACUUUUGACACCCCCAUCUUUAUUCACCAUUAUCACUGUGCACCAAGAAACAAUUUACUUUAGUUUGUUUUACUUUCGCAAGAACAAUUUAUGCUUUCUAGUAUUUCAAUUCGGUUGCAAGAAACAAGCCAAGACAUUUUGCGUUAGGU